GGUUUUUAACGACUAACAGAGUUUUUCUAAUUUCAUGGACAACAAAAGACUGAAUCUCUACUACUUGAGCCCCCCCUGACUGGAAAGCUGGAUCCGCUCCUGCAAACAGUCUUAACCGAGUUGCAAAUGAAGCUUCCGAUAGCACUCGUCAAAUUGCACAAAAUUUGAGUGUGCCCGCACAUGCAUACCAGAGAUUAGUAGAUCUAUGUCCAUACCAUUUAGAAGCAUUUGAAUAUUUGACUCCAGACGAUUUCAAACCAAGAAUUCAACUUUCUCAGAGGCUCAUCUGUUCAUCAAUCUCAUUUUCUCAGAGAUCAUAUUGUUGAGUAACGCAAUUUUUUAUGUUUUGGUUUAAUGGACGGGGAAGCCAGUUUUACCUGAGAUGGCAUAUUCAGCAAUACGAAUAAUUUUCAGCUUGUUAAUGACCAUUUGGUUGGCUCUCUGCUACCUAAUCGUUUAACAGGACUUAUCAGCGGUCGUUUUCUGCAAGAUGUCCUGCCAAAACGUUCAGAAAACAACGAAAAAAAUGGUGCAUAUCCAAUGUAUGAGUUGAUGUCUGUCAGUAUUUGGACCGGCACUUUGACCAACAUUGGGUCGGCAUAGGUCCAGUUGCGUGGACCGCCAGGCCACCCGAUUUAACAUAUUGGGAUUUUUUUGUGGUGACACGUAAAGUGUCUGGUUUACGCCACUGAAACCAGAGCAAGACCUGAUUGCAAGAAUUACUGCGGCAUUUAAAAUUUGAAGUCGGUCAAAAUGACUAUCAAAUUUUCAGUGGAGUCCGCACAAACCAUGUACUAUGUUUGAACAAGUGUGUUCAAGUUCAAACGACAUUUUCAACAGAUCCUAGAUGUGUUAUUGCGAACAGACAAAUUAAAAUAAAAUACAUUUAAGGAUAAAACACAGUUUUGCACAAAAAGGUCUCAAAGCGUCAUAAGCAAUAGGGAUAUAUUUCCGAGCAUAGGAAUUCUUACUGUUGUACUGAAUCCCUAGGAGUUUUAUCUCAUAGUUCUGAGUCACUGGGUGGAAAUACACCAAAUGUGCUAAUUGUACAAACAACUAUUUUGACAAAUUUCACUGACAUGUUAUCAUUUAUAUUGCCGCUCCUGUAUGGUUCACACUAUGGAAUAUAUAUUAUUAUGGCCGUGCUGUACUUUAUAUUCAUAUAAUUAGCUUUUCCUGUUCGAAAAUAAUACGUUUUGUAGGAAUUAAAUUAGUUCAAACUACUGUUUUUGCUGCAUUGCAAACGUACAACUUUACGACAAUGUGAUCUUCUAUAUUACCAAUGUUAGUUAAAGAGUGAAUAAAUUUGAAACACAG
Dendroctonus ponderosae (mountain pine beetle) is the source of this 1317-nucleotide long non-coding RNA. RefSeq lists it as uncharacterized. Lineage: Eukaryota; Metazoa; Arthropoda; Insecta; Coleoptera; Curculionidae. The record is from RefSeq and is a predicted model, not a curated record. The transcript is spliced from 2 exons.